This 309-nucleotide ribosomal RNA is filed under the name Triticum aestivum (bread wheat). RNAcentral describes it as "partial small subunit ribosomal RNA". The record is from RNAcentral. Lineage: Eukaryota; Viridiplantae; Streptophyta; Magnoliopsida; Poales; Poaceae.
AUGUCCACGUCCGGUUCGUCCUCCGUUUCUGCCGACCGGGACAUCCUCCCCCUGAUCCCCUGCCCGGACUGCGGGGGCCAGAGCACCACCAUUGCCACUCGCGGCGGCUCCCGCCCCGGGGCUCAGAUCUACAAGAAACUCCGCCACAGCGCUGUUCUUGGCUGGUUCUUCCGCUGGUCAGACGGGUACGCGCUGGCCGAUGUUGCAAGGAUGACCCUCCUCCUCGGCGUGGCCAAUCUGCUCGUCAACCUGCUUGUUCUGGCUCUCGUGCUGCGGCUGUUCGCAAAGCGGAAUGCAUCUAUGGCGUAA